GAUGAAGAACGUAGCGAAAUGCGAUAAGUAGUGUGAAUUGCAGAAUUCAGUGAAUCAUCGAAUCUUUGAACGCACAUUGCGCCCCAUGGUAUUCCGUGGGGCAUGCCUGUUCGAGCGUCAUUUACCCCCUCAAGCUCCGCUUGGUGUUGGGCGUCUGUCCCGCUUCGCGCGCGGACUCGCCCCAAAGGUAUUGGCAGCGGUCGUGCCAGCUUCUCGCGCAGCACAUUGCGCUUCUCGAGGCACCGGUGGGCCCGCGUCCAUCAAGCUCACCCCCCCAGUUUGACCUCGGAUCAGGUAGGGAUACCCGCUGAACUUAAGCAUAUCAAUAACGGAGGA
Molecule: unclassified non-coding RNA, 336 nt
Filed under: soil metagenome
Description: partial contains 5.8S ribosomal RNA, internal transcribed spacer 2, and large subunit ribosomal RNA
Rfam family: 5.8S ribosomal RNA (bases 1-120)
Source: RNAcentral